AAUAUUCUUUAUACUAUCGCGGGCAACCGUGAAAAGGUAACCUCGAGUGCCUGUAUAUGGGGCGGGCCAGGUGUCUAAAACACACCUGAAGAACCGGCCGGGCAAGACCGGUGCCAGCCGCCGCGGUAAUACCGGCGGCUCGAGUGGUGGCCACUUUUAUUGGGCUUAAAGCGUUCGUAGCUGGGUUGUUAAGUCUCUUGGGAAAUCCGGCGGCUCAACCGUCGGGCGUCUAAAAAAUACUGGCGAUCUUGGAACCGGGAGAGGUGAGGGGUACUUCGGGGGUAGGAGUGAAAUCCUGUAAUCCUCGAGGGACCACCUGUGGGGAAGGCGCCUCACCAGAACGGCUUCGACAGGGAGGGACGAAAGCUGGGGGAGCAAACCGGAUUAAAUACCCGGGUAGUCCCAGCCGUAAACGAUGUGCGUUAGGUGUAUCGAUGACCACGAGUCAUCAGGGUGCGGAGGGAAACCCGUGAAACGUACCGCUUGGAAAGUACGGUCGCAAGGCUGAAACUUAAAGGAAUGGGCGGGGGAAAGGGCGAAUUCGUUUAAACCUCCGGGAUAAGUCCUUUUAGUGAGGGUUAUUUCUGAGCUUGGGGUAAUCAUGGCCAUAGCUGUUUUUCCUGAAG
RNAcentral lists this ribosomal RNA (626 nucleotides) under uncultured Methanoculleus sp. Its description in RNAcentral is "bacterial SSU rRNA". It matches the Rfam family "Archaeal small subunit ribosomal RNA", at positions 342 to 977 of the family's 1478-position model. The record is from RNAcentral. Lineage: Archaea; Methanobacteriati; Methanobacteriota; Methanomicrobia; Methanomicrobiales; Methanomicrobiaceae.